UGGUGACCUUCUGCUGUUGUCUUUUCUAUGGUCGGGUUGUUGUCUCUUUGACACAUUCCCAAUUUCCAUUCACAAUUUUAAUAGUUUACAAAAUACUAUACAUGUACAAAACAAACCAAACAACAUACACGGUUCUUCUGCUGCACCAUCGACUUACCACUGUCAUAUAACUUAUUAUUCAUAAGUCGAUUAGUAUAUGCUUCUUGUCUAACCCUUGUCUAAGAUGUAACCAAAUGUACCUCCUAUAGAUUUAUAGGAGUAUGAUUGGAUAAUGGACUACACGUAGUGACCAUAUAUAUUUGGUGUUGGUGUGCCCUAAAAAUACAUAGUUAGUUACCAUAUAGGGUUAGCAACCAUAUGGGAUUAGUAAGGAGUUACUUCCCUUUCAAAACAAAAAAGAAAUCUGAAAGGUUUAAACAGACGAAGAAACUAAUAAUGAAUGAUCAAAAUACAUAUGUUUGCACCUGUCCUAAGUCAGGAUCUGAUGUUCAGUAGUUGUCGUGUGUUGAUAUGGUUCAUAAGUGUUCAUCGUUACUCGUUUUAUAUAUAGAUUAGACCGGUGGUUUUUCCGUUUUGAGCCACGGCGCUGUGCUGAAGACGGUACCUUGACCUUUAAUAAUUCAGUUUUAUAAAUUUUGACUUGGAUGGAAAAUUGUCUCAUUGGCAAUCAUACCACAUUUUCCUAUAUCUAUAAAUGAAAAUAUGUAAAGCU
Molecule: long non-coding RNA, 712 nt
Filed under: Mytilus galloprovincialis (Mediterranean mussel)
Lineage: Eukaryota; Metazoa; Mollusca; Bivalvia; Mytilida; Mytilidae
Source: RNAcentral